Long non-coding RNA from Mus musculus (house mouse), 1040 nucleotides. RefSeq annotates it as predicted gene, 19272. The record is from RefSeq and is marked validated. The transcript has 7 exons. NCBI's taxonomy places the organism in Eukaryota, Metazoa, Chordata, Mammalia, Rodentia, Muridae.
GUACAGUGAGUGGAAGUCACAGGUAAGGAACAGUGAGGAAAAUAACCUGUAGGUUUCACAGGAAUGAUCUACCAAGAACCACUGCAUGUACCACUGUGGUAGAAGUUAAGGAGUCUUCAUAGGAUGCUGGAUGAAGGCUGGAUACUUCUAUAUCAGCAGAAUGCUUUGUUUUAUGGCCUCUUGAUGCUGCCUUUGGCGUAGCCCCCAGACCUGUUUUUCAUCAAUACAGAGAACAGUAGUCCCUGAAGCAUCUGCUUAAGGUCCUGAGAGGCUUCUCACAGAAGAAAACCUCAUGGUAUGCUGUCCACAGACAAGUAGGCUGUAUCAUCUAUGAAGGAAAGAAGCUGUUCCUGCUCAUAGUUCUUCAGGUCUAUGCAGGAUGCCAGCCGCUCCUCAGCUCUGGUGAGGGUCUCAUGGAGAACAACACAAGGAUGCGCCAGAAAUGUGUCCACGAGAGGUCACAUGCCUGACUCUGCAUUUAAGCUCACCAAGCUGUGGAGCUUUGGAGAACACCUGGUUAUAAAGAGCAGAGAGGAAGUGUGGAAAGCUACAGAGAACUCGAGCCUGUCCACCACAGCUGUAGCCGGAGCCAGAGGUAACCUUGCAGGUGUCCAGAUGGGAGGGCGAGCAGAACCACUCAACACUCAGGUGGACGUCCAUACUCAGUGGUGGAUCCAGGAACUUCAGAACAGGUAAGUGACUUUGAGAGCCCCUGCAGUAGUUUGGACAUGGUUGAAAAGUAAACAGAUGCAGCUGUCCAAAACAGAAGAAAAGAGAUUCUCCUCUGACAAUUGUUAGAUGUCAUCUCUUGGAUGUCUUCAUCCCUGGAAAAAGUAAUAGUCUAUAAGAAACUACUCGAUCUCAGCUCAUCUAAUCAGAUAGAAGCCAAACUACACUGAGGAGCCAUUCUCUCACCUCAUCAAUCUUGCACAAGAAUGAUUUAAUUGUCUCCUCAAUGUAUGUCAUUCAUGGGAAAAAUUCUGUGUUCAAUAACAUCAGCUGCAGAAGCUGGGAGUCCUAUUAAAGUUAUAUUAGACACA